Phyllopteryx taeniolatus (common seadragon) is the source of this 1898-nucleotide long non-coding RNA. RefSeq lists it as uncharacterized. The transcript is spliced from 4 exons. NCBI's taxonomy places the organism in Eukaryota, Metazoa, Chordata, Actinopteri, Syngnathiformes, Syngnathidae. The record is from RefSeq and is a predicted model, not a curated record.
GACACCCAACGCACAAUUUUCCCCAAAAAGAUUCACGAAAACAGCUGCUUGCCAAUAUUCCUUUGAAAACGACUGCAUGUUUGUGGCCCUUUUUCUGGAGGCUUGAGUCAACCAGAAGUCUAAACCUCGUUCAAUGGAUAAUAGCAAAUGAAACAGGCCGAUAGCACCACCCAGUGGACAAAGUCUUACGUAGCAGCAAAGCAAUUUGGACUUGUGGGGACUAAUUGACGAGUGCUGUGCCCGCUGUUACAAUCGAAGGUUUAUAUUUCAUCGGCAAAAUGGGCUUUUUUCAUCGCAGCUGUCUUGAGGUCGUCCCCGGAUGACCCCCUCGAGUUUGGAAAAAGCAACAAUCAAAUCACACAGAGCCCCGUCGGGUGGGUCGGGAGCUGUGCCAUGUGCUUCUCUGCCAGGAACUGUCAGAUGCUCACGGGACAUUGUAGCAGGUGUGCGCGUGGUCGUCAUGGUCAUCAAUUAUACAAUGAAGACGUCUGCUGCUGCUUUUUUUUUUUGAACCAAUCUGAACCAAUCACAUUUCAGAUUCAAUAAACACCUGCACCUGGCGGGCUUCCGCUGACGUCCUCUGAUUGGUUGAGAGCUAGUCGCCCGCAUUGCUUUCACACGAAGCCGGCGGCUGAGGAAGCUGGCGAACGUAACAAUUGUGGUUCAAAUUCAUUUUCAAGGCGGACUUUUCAAGACAAAGUGCGAAUUGUGAAAUUCCAUCGGACAACGCUUGUCGCUGGUAAACUUGGUUUCAACCUUUAUUUGCCACUUCAACAACCUCGUAGCUCGCUAGCGAGGACCCAACGCAGCUAGCGAAAGACGCUAGAGCUUGUCUAUAAAUAAUACGCAUCUCUGGCAGUGGAAAUAAAGGAGCGUCAUGUGCCUUUCCCACAAGUUACCAACGCUACUGGAAUGACGGAAAAGCGUCCAGCACACGCCACAGCAGAAAUGUUCAUGCGGGCCCACAAUGUGGAACAAGCUGACCUGGCCCGUCUGUACGUUUGAAAAGUUUCCGAUACGGAACUGGAAGUCGUCUUAUUUUCCAAGGUCCGUGUCGUGUGUGGACGAGCCGUCCGGGGCGCGUCCCCUGCUCUUGCCCGACGUCGGCCUCCGCAUCCGCGUGACGUCCACAACCCAUGUGCUGCGUGCGGACGAGGGAGAAAAGGUGAAGAACACAGUGCCCGAGCUGAAACGAUGCCAGUGUUACGUCUGGGGGCCUUUCAAAAGUAGCCGAGUCGCAUACCUUUGUGUUGACUCACUAUGAGUUACAUUCUCAUCAGCUGCACUUACUUCCAGGUGACCUCAAGAAAGCAGACUUCAACAUGUUCACUAGGCUUGCACCAAAGUCUACUGCUAAUCGAGCCCAAUGCUACGCACAACGUUUUGCAGCAGAGAGCGCUCGAGUUCAAAUGUUGACUUAACUGGAAGUUGAGCGUCUCUUGAGGGAGGAUGGUACAACCACUCAGAGACAGAAGGCGUGACAAGACGGCAAAUGAGUGACAUUGCAGAUUGAAAUUUGCAGACAUUUGGUGUGAAUGCGAGUGCAAAUGUUUGUUUCGACGUGCCCUGCGAUUGGCUGGCGACCAGUUCAGGGUGGACCCCGCCUCGCGCCCAGAGUCGGCUGGGAUAGGCCCCAGCACGCCCGCGACCCUAAUGAGGAGAAGCACUAUGGAAAAUGGAUGGAUUUUUUUUUUCUAGCUUGUUCCCGACACAUUGGGGUGGGGGGGGGCAGUGAGGUGGCUGCUGCCUCGCCUGACCACCCCCUGAGUCCGCCCAUCUUCUCUGCUGGUCUAAAUCUUAUCAGCUAUCACCCACAUUUACAACUUAAUUAAAUUGUUGAUAUUCAUAUUUAUUAUAUGUAUAAAAUAAUACUAUACGUAUUUAUUUAUUUCCAACAG